AGCUUUGCACAGUCCCAGUAUUCAUAACCAGUGAAGUUUAUCCCAGGUGUGAUUAUUGGUAGUUGAAAACUUUUCCCGAUACCCUUUUGUGACAACUUGAAAUAUAGUCAGCACUGGCAAUUUCUGACAAUCUCUAUGGAGA
This is a small nuclear RNA of Phyllostomus discolor (pale spear-nosed bat), 142 nucleotides long. RefSeq annotates it as U4 spliceosomal RNA. The record is from RefSeq and is a predicted model, not a curated record. NCBI's taxonomy places the organism in Eukaryota, Metazoa, Chordata, Mammalia, Chiroptera, Phyllostomidae. The transcript has a single exon.